Molecule: ribosomal RNA, 468 nt
Filed under: uncultured bacterium
Lineage: Bacteria
Description: partial 16S ribosomal RNA
Rfam family: Bacterial small subunit ribosomal RNA
Source: RNAcentral
GACGAACGCUGGCGGCGUGCUUAACACAUGCAAGUCGAACGGAAAGGCCCUGCUUUUGUGGGGUGCUCGAGUGGCGAACGGGUGAGUAACACGUGAGUAACCUGCCCUUGACUUUGGGAUAACUUCAGGAAACUGGGGCUAAUACCGGAUAGGAGCUCCUGCUGCAUGGUGGGGGUUGGAAAGUUUCGGCGGUUGGGGAUGGACUCGCGGCUUAUCAGCUUGUUGGUGGGGUAGUGGCUUACCAAGGCUUUGACGGGUAGCCGGCCUGAGAGGGUGACCGGCCACAUUGGGACUGAGAUACAGCCCGGACUCCUACGGGAGGCAGCAGUGGGGAAUAUUGCACAGUGGGCGGAAGCCUGAUGCAGCAACGCCGCGUGCGGGAUGACGGCCUUCGGGUUGUAAACCGCUUUCGCCUGUGACGAAGCGUGAGUGACGGUAAUGGGUAAAGAAGCUCCGGCUAACUACGUG